ACGCUCGACACCUACGGAAGGCAGCAGUCGGGAAUAUUGCGCAAUGGAGGAAACUCUGACGCAGUGACGCCGCGUGCAGGAAGAAGGUUUUCGGAUUGUAAACUGCUUUAGACAGGGAAGAACAAAUGACAGUACCUGUAGAAUAAGCUCCGGCUAACUACGUGCCAUCAGCCGCGGUAAUCUGAGCGGCUGGCAAGGC
This 199-nucleotide ribosomal RNA is filed under the name uncultured bacterium. RNAcentral's name for it is "partial 16S ribosomal RNA". It matches the Rfam family "Bacterial small subunit ribosomal RNA", at positions 326 to 539 of the family's 1533-position model. The record is from RNAcentral.